RNAcentral lists this long non-coding RNA (284 nucleotides) under Lathyrus oleraceus (garden pea). RNAcentral describes it as "Pisum sativum (pea) long non-coding RNA (PSAT_LNC026501)". Lineage: Eukaryota; Viridiplantae; Streptophyta; Magnoliopsida; Fabales; Fabaceae. The record is from RNAcentral.
AUGGAGAUUUGUACUGUUGAUUAUGAUGUUUGAAUGGAUAUUACUGUUGCUGAAUGCGUAGUCUAAUUAGGGUGAAUUAAUGUGUUAAUUACUUGGCAUUACAUGUUGUUCUAUAAUGCUUAUUAUAUUGAUUGAGGAACUCACCCUUACGCCUAUUUUUCAGGUAACGAGAAAUGAGUUGAGUAGAAGCUUAUGCUUGGAGUCUAGAGUAGUUCUUAUGGGUCAUGCUCUGAUAGAUGUAACAUCGGGAGGGAAUGUUUUAAUUAAUUUGAUAUUGGUUGUUG